This 305-nucleotide ribosomal RNA is filed under the name uncultured bacterium. Its description in RNAcentral is "bacterial SSU rRNA". It matches the Rfam family "Bacterial small subunit ribosomal RNA", at positions 337 to 639 of the family's 1533-position model. The record is from RNAcentral.
GCCUACUUUCUGCAGCCCUGAGGAAUAUUGGUCAAUGGGCGAGAUCCUGAACCCUCCCCUUCUCUUUCCUUCUUCCUUCCCUACGUGUUGUAAACUUCUUUUGUCAGGGAGCAAUUGGGUCCACGCGUGGGCUUAGCGAGAGUACCUGAAGAAAAAGCAUCGGCUAACUCCGUGCCAGCAGCCGCGGUAAUACGGAGGAUGCGAGCGUUAUCCGGAUUUAUUGGGUUUAAAGGGUGCGUAGGCGGAAUAUCAAGUCAGCGGUAAAAAUUCGGGGCUCAACCCCGUCGUGCCGUUGAAACUGAUGU